This is a long non-coding RNA of Culex pipiens pallens (northern house mosquito), 1908 nucleotides long. RefSeq lists it as uncharacterized. The record is from RefSeq and is a predicted model, not a curated record. The transcript is spliced from 3 exons. Lineage: Eukaryota; Metazoa; Arthropoda; Insecta; Diptera; Culicidae.
AAUUUGUUUCAUUUGUCUUAGGCAUUUUGCGGAGCUGUAAACUAAAAUUUUAACAAUUUUCUCUAAGAAGCCAAAUUAUUGCUGAUAUAUGCCGAAAACAAAUUUUAAUACUAUAAUAUUCGUAUCGAUUAAUGAGUAUUAAACUGUUCAUCUAUUUAACAACCAAAUCUAAAUUUCUAGUUUUUUUUUUUGUCAAUAUCGGGAAACCCGGGAUUCGAGAAUUCCCGGGACUGAAUUCAAAUUUGUAUUUUCAGAAGCUGUUUUGGGCGAGAAUGACGGAUACAGUUGGUUGCAUUGAUGAGAGAAUCCAACUUCUGUUAGAUUUCAAGCAACUAUCUGCUACUCAUUGGCUUGGCGAGUUCGAUGACGACGACAUUAAGAAGCUGGAACAGGAUGUCCGCAAUAUGCCCACAGCACAAUUCAACAAACUCAACUGUGAAGGAGAGCAAGCCUCAUUUUCGUUCAAUUUCAUUGAAUUAAAAUGCUUGAAAUGCAUAAUUUCCCAAAUCAAUCAAAAAGGAAUCCCAUACUUCAUCAAACAAGAGAACUCCGGCGAUUCACCUACUACUAUCCAAGCAGUCGACGAUCCAAAUGAAAAGGCUGUUAUUAUCCAGAAAAUAAUAACAAACGUUUCGCAGACGUAACGUAUUUAUAAAUUAUACCAGGGAAACCGUCUUAAUUUAAUAUUAAUUUUUAGAACUGGAAUAGACCAAUUAAAGAAAACUCAGGUAAAGUUUGGGUCGAAGAGUGGCGGAAAGCGGCUUGCCUUUGUACAGUGCCCUAAGUGUGAUAAGAAUAUACAAGCUGAGCAACUACAACCUGGGGCAGCCUGGAAAGUUUCGAAUUUCUCAAAGCACUGGAAAAAUCACCACCGAACCACCUCCGCCACCGACCAAAUAUCCAAAAAACCGCGACUCGAUGUAUCGUUUAAUUUGCCGCGCGAGGGAAUGGGUGAUUAUUCCGUUUCGACAGUGGAAGGCGAAACUUCACGUAAUUCUAGUGUAGCAUUUGAUGACGAGAUCUGCCCAGACCGGACGGAACCGUCAGCCCAAUACCAUCAACUGGAAAUUACACGUUACUCUGAGUCAGCCGACAAUGAGGUCGAAUUUCUUUCACCUGAUGAGGCACACACACCAGAAUCCCACCAGCAACCCCAACAAGAAAAUCCCCAGAAUGACGAGGAACAAGCUUCAGUAGGAGUAAUCCAAAAAAACUAAAUCUGCAGAACGAAAUGGCCGAUUGUUCUGCUGAUAGUGUAUUGGCCAAUAAACCGCUUUUCAGAACAUAUACUAACAUCAACAUGAGGAAUGCAGGACGGAAAAAACGUGGAGAAAGAUAUACUGACACAGAGAAGGACAUACUUUCUUAUGAGUUCCUCUCUUCGGGCUUGUCUUUUCAUGAAUUUAAGAAGAACAAUAUGACUUACUCUAGUAAGCGGACCAUAUUAAGACACAUCCACAAAGAGACGAAGGACGUCCGUGAAGGCGUUCUGGACGUGGCUGGGCUUAAAAGAUAUCUUAAGUCAAACAAUUACCCUCCGACCGUUAUGCUCGUUGAGGAUGGGACAAAGGUUCAACAGCACGUCCAAUACGAACCCCGUUUCGAUUGUUUGACUGGACUUGUAAGCCCCUUGGAUAACAAAACCGGACUACCCAAACAAGACACCUUUAGCGCUAACUGUGCCACCAAGAUGAAACAGGACGUCGAAAGUUAUGCGGUGGCGGACACAGCAUAUGUACAGUUGGCGCUACCACUAGCGAAAGGCGCAGCACCUUUUGUCUUACUUUACUUCGGGACAGAUAAUAAAUUCAGAAGCCAAGACGUUGUCCACAGGUGGAAGGAAACCCGAGUUGUGCUUUUGGGAGAAGGGAUUGUAGUAAUAGGUUUUGCCAGCGAUGGUGAUCCUAA